This 450-nucleotide ribosomal RNA is filed under the name uncultured bacterium. RNAcentral's name for it is "partial 16S ribosomal RNA". It matches the Rfam family "Bacterial small subunit ribosomal RNA", at positions 354 to 796 of the family's 1533-position model. The record is from RNAcentral.
GUAGGGAAUCUUCCACAAUGGACGAAAGUCUGAUGGAGCAACGCCGCGUGAGUGAAGAAGGUCUUCGGAUCGUAAAACUCUGUUGUUAGAGAAGAACGUGCAUGAUAGUAACUGAUCAUGUAAUGACGGUAUCUAACCAGAAAGCCACGGCUAACUACGUGCCAGCAGCCGCGGUAAUACGUAGGUGGCAAGCGUUGUCCGGAUUUAUUGGGCGUAAAGGGAACGCAGGCGGUUUUUUAAGGCUGAUGUGAAAGCCUUCGGCUUAACCGAAGAAGAGCAUUGGAAACUGGAAGACUUGAGUGCAGAAGAGGAGAGUGGAAUUCCAUGUGUAGCGGUGAAAUGCGUAGAUAUAUGGAGGAACACCAGUGGCGAAAGCGACUUUCUGGACUGUAACUGACGCUGAGGCUCGAAAGCCAGGGGAGCGAACGGGAUUAGAAACCCGGGUAGUCC